RNAcentral lists this ribosomal RNA (425 nucleotides) under uncultured bacterium. RNAcentral's name for it is "partial 16S ribosomal RNA". It matches the Rfam family "Bacterial small subunit ribosomal RNA", at positions 356 to 773 of the family's 1533-position model. The record is from RNAcentral.
UGGGAAUUUUGGACAAUGGGCGAAAGCCUGAUCCAGCAAUGCCGCGUGUGUGAAGAAGGCCUUCGGGUUGUAAAGCACUUUUGUCCGGAAAGAAAUCCUUGGCUCUAAUACAGUCGGGGGAUGACGGUACCGGAAGAAUAAGCACCGGCUAACUACGUGCCAGCAGCCGCGGUAAUACGUAGGGUGCAAGCGUUAAUCGGAAUUACUGGGCGUAAAGCGUGCGCAGGCGGUUUGCUAAGACCGAUGUGAAAUCCCCGGGCUCAACCUGGGAACUGCAUUGGUGACUGGCAGGCUAGAGUAUGGCAGAGGGGGGUAGAAUUCCACGUGUAGCAGUGAAAUGCGUAGAGAUGUGGAGGAAUACCGAUGGCGAAGGCAGCCCCCUGGGCCAAUACUGACGCUCAUGCACGAAAGCGUGGGGAGCAAAC